RNAcentral lists this ribosomal RNA (329 nucleotides) under uncultured eukaryote. RNAcentral's name for it is "partial 18S ribosomal RNA". It matches the Rfam family "Eukaryotic small subunit ribosomal RNA", at positions 1470 to 1796 of the family's 1831-position model. The record is from RNAcentral.
CCCUUAGAUGUCCUGGGCCGCACGCGCGCUACACUGAGUGUCUGAGAUACGAGUCUGGCUGGUCCGGCAAGGUCUAGGUAAUCGCUAAAAGACACAUCAUGCUUGGGAUAGAUUAUUGCAAAUAUUAAUCUUGAACGAGGAAUUCCUAGUAAGCGCAAGUCAACAGCUUGCGUUGAUUACGUCCCUGCCCUUUGUACACACCGCCCGUCGCUACUACUGAUUGGAUGUUUAAGCGAGGUUCUCGAACUGCUAGCGACUUAGCUUCGGUGAGGUCGCAGUGUGGGAAGUGAACCUAGCUUUGGUGUCUAGAGGAAGUAAAAGUCGUAACA